AGCGAACGUUUGCGGCGGGCUUAACACAUGCAAGUCGAACGAGAAUCCCUUCGGGGAGGAAAGUGGCGCACGGGUGCGUAACACGUGGAUAACCAACCCAUUGGUUUGGGACAACACCGGGAAACUGGUGCUAAUACCAGAUGUGUCGCAGCUGUCUUCAGGCGGUUGCGAGAAAGGCCCGCAAGGGUCGCCAACGGACGGGUCCGCGUCCCAUCAGCUAGUUGGUGAGGUAAUGGCUCACCAAGGCAAAGACGGGUAGCUGGUCUGAGAGGAUGAUCAGCCACACUGGAACUGAGACACGGUCCAGACUCCUACGGGAGGCAGCAGUGGGGAAUAUUGCGCAAUGGGCGAAAGCCCGACGCAGCCACGCCGCGUGAGCGAUGAAGGUCUUCGGAUCGUAAAGCUCUGUGGGGGGAGAAGAAGAAAGCCGGUGAAGAGCCGGCCCUGACGGUAUCCCCUUAGCAAGCACCGGCUAACUCCGUGCCAGCAGCCGCGGUAAAGU
This 502-nucleotide ribosomal RNA is filed under the name uncultured bacterium. RNAcentral describes it as "bacterial SSU rRNA". It matches the Rfam family "Bacterial small subunit ribosomal RNA", at positions 29 to 526 of the family's 1533-position model. The record is from RNAcentral.